UACGGAGGAUCCGAGCGUUAUCCGGAUUUACUGGGUGUAAAGGGAGCGUAGACGGCGAUGCAAGUCUGAAGUGAAAGGCGGGGGCCCAACCCCCGGACUGCUUUGGAAACUGUAUAGCUGGAGUGCAGGAGAGGUAAGUGGAAUUCCUAGUGUAGCGGUGAAAUGCGUAGAUAUUAGGAGGAACACCAGUGGCGAAGGCGGCCUGCUGGACGAUGACUGACGUUGAGGCUCGAAAGCGUGGGGAGCAAACAGG
This 253-nucleotide ribosomal RNA is filed under the name uncultured Eubacteriales bacterium. Its description in RNAcentral is "uncultured Clostridiales bacterium partial 16S ribosomal RNA". It matches the Rfam family "Bacterial small subunit ribosomal RNA", at positions 524 to 776 of the family's 1533-position model. Lineage: Bacteria; Bacillati; Bacillota; Clostridia; Eubacteriales. The record is from RNAcentral.